RNAcentral lists this unclassified non-coding RNA (169 nucleotides) under soil metagenome. Its description in RNAcentral is "partial internal transcribed spacer 1". The record is from RNAcentral.
AUGAGUUGCAAAACUCCAACCAUCGCGAAUGUAACCUAUUGCAGUUUCUUCGGCGGGUGGCCCUGAGAUGGGCUGCGCACACCCGUGGGUCACGGGGGGUAUACCCGCCGGAGUCGUACAAACUCUUGUAUUUGUUGGCAUCAUCUGAGUAACUUUUACAAUAAGUUAA